GCAGGUUAAAUAUUCCUGUGCCACCUAAAACUAUAGCAAUGGAUUGACGAAGGGUCAAAGGCAUGCGGACAAUUGGAAACGUCCGUUGGCGCUGUGAGAUAGACUGAUAGGCAAAUCCGUCAGUAUAAUAUCAGGCAGUGAACAAGGGGAAUCUACGGAGGAACCGAUGAUGCGUGAAACACUUCCAAGAAAUAAAUUCUAGCUGUUGAUGGUGACCGUACCAAACCCGACACAGGUGGAUAAGAAGAAUAUUCUCAGGCGCGCGAGAUAACUCUCGUUAAGGAACUCUGCAAAUUAUUCCUGUAACUUCGGGAGAAAGGAAGCCGCGGAUUGUGAUUGGAUUUACUCCAUGAGCAUUCUGUGGUCGCAGAAAAAUGGCCCAGGCGACUGUUUAACAAAAACACAGCACUAUGCGAAGACGCUUUAAGUCUAGGUAUAUGGUGUGAUGCCUGCCCAAUGCCAAAAGGUCAAAAGGAGAAGUUAGCCGUAAGGCGAAGCUUUGAAUUUAAGCCCUGGUGAAUGGCGGCCGUAACAAUAACGGUCCUAAGGUAGCGAAAUUCCUUGUCGGGUAAGUUCCGACCUGCACGAAUGGUAUAACGAUCUGGGCGCUGUCUCAACGAGAGACUCGGUGAAAUUGUAGUAGCGGUGUAGAUGCCGUUUACCCGCAAUAAGACGGAAAGACCCCGUGAACCUUUACUGUACUCUGAUACUGGCUUUUGACUUUUCAUGUGUAGGAUAACCAGGAGACUAUGAAGCCCCAUCGUUAGGUGGGGUGGAGUCAACGUUGAAAUACUGGUCUUGAAAAGUUGGAAAUCUAACGGGAUCCUGUGAAUCCAGGAGCCGGACAAUGUCAGACGGGCAGUUUUGCUGGGGCGGUAUCCUCCUAAAAAGUAACGGAGGAGUCCAAAGCUUGCCUCAUCGUGGUUGGCAAUCACGAGAAGAGCGUAAAGGUAUAAGGCAAGUUGACUGUGAGACUAGCAAGUCGAACAGACACGAAAGUAGGGCUUAGUGAUCCGGCGGUGGAAAGUGGAAUCGCCGUCGCUCAACGGAUAAAAGGUACUCCGGGGAUAACAGGCUUAUCGCCACCAAGAGUUCAUAUCGACGUGGCGGUUUGGCACCUCGAUGUCGACUCAUCGCAUCCUGGGGCUGAAGAAGGUCCCAAGGGUUUGGCUGUUCGCCAAUUAAAGCGGUACGCGAGUUGGGUUCAAAACGUCGUGAGACAGUUUGGUCCCUAUCUGUUGCGGGCGUAGGAUACUUGAGAGGAGCUGCUUCUAGUACGAGAGGACCGAAGUGGACGGACCAAUGGUGUUCCAGUUGUUCUGCCAAGAGCAAACGCUGGGUAGCUAAGUUCGGAAAGGAUAAGCGUU
Molecule: ribosomal RNA, 1367 nt
Filed under: metagenome
Description: bacterial LSU rRNA
Rfam family: Bacterial large subunit ribosomal RNA
Source: RNAcentral